Molecule: small nuclear RNA, 104 nt
Filed under: Mus spicilegus (steppe mouse)
Lineage: Eukaryota; Metazoa; Chordata; Mammalia; Rodentia; Muridae
Source: RNAcentral
GUGCUCGCUUCGGCAGCACAUAUACUAAAAUUGGAACGAUACAGAGAUUAGCAUGGCCCCUGUGCAAGGAUGACACGCAAAUUCGUGAAGUGUUCCAUAUUAAA